RNAcentral lists this ribosomal RNA (463 nucleotides) under uncultured bacterium. RNAcentral's name for it is "partial 16S ribosomal RNA". It matches the Rfam family "Bacterial small subunit ribosomal RNA", at positions 28 to 507 of the family's 1533-position model. The record is from RNAcentral.
GACGAACGCUGGCGGCGUGCUUAACACAUGCAAGUCGAACGGAAAGGCCUUUUCGGAGGUACUCGAGUGGCGAACGGGUGAGUAACACGUGGGUGAUCUGCCCUGCACUCUGGGAUAAGCCUGGGAAACUGGGUCUAAUACCGGAUAGGACCGCACUUUAGUGUGUGUGGUGGAAAGUUUUUUCGGUGUAGGAUGAGCCCGCGGCCUAUCAGCUUGUUGGUGGGGUAAUGGCCUACCAAGGCGGCGACGGGUAGCCGGACUGAGAGGUUGGUCGGCCACAUUGGGACUGAGAUACAGCCCAGACUCCUACGGGAGGCAGCAGUGGGGAAUAUUGCACAAUGGGCGCAAGCCUGAUGCAGCGACGCCGCGUGGGGGAUGACGGCCUUCGGGUUGUAAACUCCUUUCGCCAGGGACGAAGCGUUUUGUGACGGUACCUGGAGAAGAAGCACCGGCUAACUACGUG